RNAcentral lists this transfer RNA (82 nucleotides) under Sphenostylis stenocarpa. RNAcentral describes it as "tRNA gene-AYBTSS11_LOCUS22028". The stretch from base 5 to 75 matches the Rfam family "tRNA". From Rfam's summary of the family: Transfer RNA (tRNA) molecules are approximately 80 nucleotides in length. The record is from RNAcentral. Lineage: Eukaryota; Viridiplantae; Streptophyta; Magnoliopsida; Fabales; Fabaceae.
GAAAAUUCUAGUAGCUUAGUGGUUGGAGUAUCAGCCUCCAACUCUAAAGUACGGGUUCGAAUCCCGCCAAUGAUAAUUUUCA